GAUGAACGCUGGCGGCGUGCUUAACACAUGCAAGUCGAACGAAGCACUUUAUUUGAUUUCCUUCGGGAUUGAUUAUUUUGUGACUGAGUGGCGGACGGGUGAGUAACGCGUGGGUAACCUGCCUUGUACAGGGGGAUAACAGUUGGAAACGGCUGCUAAUACCGCAUAAGCGCACGGCAUCGCAUGACGCAGUGUGAAAAACUCCGGUGGUAUAAGAUGGACCCGCGUUGGAUUAGCUAGUUGGUGAGGUAACGGCCCACCAAGGCGACGAUCCAUAGCCGACCUGAGAGGGUGACCGGCCACAUUGGGACUGAGACACGGCCCAAACUCCUACGGGAGGCAGCAGUGGGGAAUAUUGCACAAUGGGCGAAAGCCUGAUGCAGCGACGCCGCGUGAGCGAAGAAGUAUUUCGGUAUGUAAAGCUCUAUCAGCAGGGAAGAUAAUGACGGUACCUGACUAAGAAGCACCGGCUAAAUACGUG
This 481-nucleotide ribosomal RNA is filed under the name uncultured bacterium. RNAcentral's name for it is "partial 16S ribosomal RNA". It matches the Rfam family "Bacterial small subunit ribosomal RNA", at positions 28 to 507 of the family's 1533-position model. The record is from RNAcentral.